Molecule: non-coding RNA, 52 nt
Organism: Alphaproteobacteria bacterium GWF2_58_20
Lineage: Bacteria; Pseudomonadati; Pseudomonadota; Alphaproteobacteria
Source: Rfam
CGGUCGGCAGAUCCGAGGCGUUGCCGCCCCGCAAGGGGAGCUAAACCUGCCA